RNAcentral lists this ribosomal RNA (824 nucleotides) under Paraburkholderia fungorum. Its description in RNAcentral is "bacterial SSU rRNA". It matches the Rfam family "Bacterial small subunit ribosomal RNA", at positions 67 to 889 of the family's 1533-position model. Lineage: Bacteria; Pseudomonadati; Pseudomonadota; Betaproteobacteria; Burkholderiales; Burkholderiaceae. The record is from RNAcentral.
CAGCACGGGGGGCAACCCUGGUGGCGAGUGGCGAACGGGUGAGUAAUACAUCGGAACGUGUCCUGUAGUGGGGGAUAGCCCGGCGAAAGCCGGAUUAAUACCGCAUACGCUCUACGGAGGAAAGGGGGGGAUCUUAGGACCUCCCGCUACAGGGGCGGCCGAUGGCAGAUUAGCUAGUUGGUGGGGUAAAGGCCUACCAAGGCGACGAUCUGUAGCUGGUCUGAGAGGACGACCAGCCACACUGGGACUGAGACACGGCCCAGACUCCUACGGGAGGCAGCAGUGGGGAAUUUUGGACAAUGGGGGCAACCCUGAUCCAGCAAUGCCGCGUGUGUGAAGAAGGCCUUCGGGUUGUAAAGCACUUUUGUCCGGAAAGAAAACGCCGUGGUUAAUACCCGUGGCGGAUGACGGUACCGGAAGAAUAAGCACCGGCUAACUACGUGCCAGCAGCCGCGGUAAUACGUAGGGUGCAAGCGUUAAUCGGAAUUACUGGGCGUAAAGCGUGCGCAGGCGGUCCGCUAAGACAGAUGUGAAAUCCCCGGGCUUAACCUGGGAACUGCAUUUGUGACUGGCGGGCUAGAGUAUGGCAGAGGGGGGUAGAAUUCCACGUGUAGCAGUGAAAUGCGUAGAGAUGUGGAGGAAUACCGAUGGCGAAGGCAGCCCCCUGGGCCAAUACUGACGCUCAUGCACGAAAGCGUGGGGAGCACACAGGAUUAGAUACCCUGGUAGUCCACGCCCUAAACGAUGUCAACUAGUUGUCGGGUCUUCAUUGACUUGGUAACGUAGCUAACGCGUGAAGUUGACCGCCUGGGGAGUACGGUCGC